This 253-nucleotide ribosomal RNA is filed under the name uncultured bacterium. RNAcentral describes it as "partial 16S ribosomal RNA". It matches the Rfam family "Bacterial small subunit ribosomal RNA", at positions 524 to 776 of the family's 1533-position model. The record is from RNAcentral.
UACGGAGGGGGCUAGCGUUGUUCGGAAUUACUGGGCGUAAAGCGCACGUAGGCGGCUUUGUAAGUUAGAGGUGAAAGCCCGGGGCUCAACUCCGGAAUUGCCUUUAAGACUGCAUCGCUAGAAUUGUGGAGAGGUAAAUGGAAUUCCGAGUGUAGAGGUGAAAUUCGUAGAUAUUCGGAAGAACACCAGUGGCGAAGGCGACUUACUGGACACAUAUUGACGCUGAGGUGCGAAAGCGUGGGGAGCAAACAGG